GAUGAACGCUAGCGGCAGGCUUAAUACAUGCAAGUCGAGGGGCAGCAUGACUGUAGCAAUACAGUUGAUGGCGACCGGCAAACGGGUGCGGAACACGUACGCAACCUACCCAAAACUGAGGAAUAGCCCGGGGAAACCCGGAUUAAUACUUCGUAACAUAAUUGAAUGGCAUCAUUUAAUUAUUAUAGCUCCGGCGGUUUUGGAUGGGCGUGCGCCUGAUUAGGUAGUUGGAGGGUAACGGCCUACCAAGCCAACGAUCAGUAACUGGUGUGAGAGCACGACCAGUCACACGGGCACUGAGACACGGGCCCGACUCCUACGGGAGGCAGCAGUAAGGAAUAUUGGUCAAUGGACGCAAGUCUGAACCAGCCAUGCCGCGUGAAGGAUGAAGGUCCUCUGGA
RNAcentral lists this ribosomal RNA (401 nucleotides) under uncultured bacterium. RNAcentral describes it as "bacterial SSU rRNA". It matches the Rfam family "Bacterial small subunit ribosomal RNA", at positions 28 to 422 of the family's 1533-position model. The record is from RNAcentral.